This 459-nucleotide ribosomal RNA is filed under the name uncultured bacterium. Its description in RNAcentral is "partial 16S ribosomal RNA". It matches the Rfam family "Bacterial small subunit ribosomal RNA", at positions 338 to 795 of the family's 1533-position model. The record is from RNAcentral.
CCUACGGGAGGCAGCAGUUAGGAAUAUUGGUCCAUGGGCGGGAGCCUGAAACAGCCAAGCCGCGUGAGGGAAGAAGGUACAGCGUAUCGUAAACCUCUUUUGUCAGGGCACAAAGGCGGGGACUAGUCCCCGGAUGAGGGUACCUGAAGAAAAAGCAUCGGCUAACUCCGUGCAAGCAGCCGCGGUAAUACGGAGGAUGCGAGCGUUAUCCGGAUUUAUUGGGUUUAAAGGGUGCGCAGGGGGCCUGUUAAGUCAGCGGUAAAAGCCCGGGGCUCAACCCCGGCGAGCCGUUGAAACUGGCGGGCUGGAGGUGGAGAGAAGUACGCGGAAUGCGCGGUGUAGCGGUGAAAUGCUUAGAUAUCACGAAGAACUCCGAUUGCGAAUGCAGCUUACUAAACUGCCACUGACAUUGAUGCUCGAAAGUGUGGGUAUCAAACAGGAUUAGAUACCCCAGUAGUC